Molecule: long non-coding RNA, 237 nt
Organism: Amblyraja radiata (thorny skate)
Lineage: Eukaryota; Metazoa; Chordata; Chondrichthyes; Rajiformes; Rajidae
Exons: 4
Source: RefSeq, a predicted model, not a curated record
GUUUCCUGGCACCAGAGAUACACAGUAUAACACCGUGUGAGGAUGAAGAAGGAUAUUUAGUGUCGAUCCUAGAAUAAUAAAGAGUAGGUUAGGGAACAGAUAGGAAUACAAUAUAAUAGGUUCAAUAGAUAAUAGAAUAGGGCUAGGUUCAAGUGAAAUAGAAAUAGCGAGUGUGUGGGAAAGCAUGAGUGCAUGAGGUAACUUGCUUUGUCCCAAGCUUCUUAGGAUUUUUCUAGG